Molecule: small nuclear RNA, 107 nt
Organism: Saimiri boliviensis boliviensis (Bolivian squirrel monkey)
Lineage: Eukaryota; Metazoa; Chordata; Mammalia; Primates; Cebidae
Source: RefSeq, a predicted model, not a curated record
GUGCUCGCUUUGGCAGCACAUGUACUAAAAUUGGAACGAUACAGAGAAAAUUCGCAUAGCCCCUGCUCAAGGAUGGCAUGCAAAUUUGUGAAGAGUUCCAUAUUUUA